CGUCCGUAGCCGGUUUAAUAAGUCUCGUGGUGAAAGUCCUGUAGCGUUAACUGUGGGAAUUGCUGGAGAUACUAUUAGACUUGGAGACCGGGAGAGGUUAGAGGUACUCCCAGGGUAGAGGUGAAAUUCUGUAAUCCUGGGAGGACCGCCUGUUGCGAAGGCGUCUAACUGGAACGGUUCUGACGGUGAGGGACGAAAGUUAGGGGCGCGAAUCGGAUUAGAUACCCGGGUAGUCCUAACCGUAAACGAUGCGGACUUGGUGUUGGGGUGGCUUUGAGCUGCUCCAGUGCCGAAGGGAAGCUGUUAAGUCCGCCGCCUGGGAAGUACGGUCGCAAGACUGAAACUUAAGGAAUUGGCGGGGGAGCACCACAACGCGUGGAGCCUGCGGUUUUUAAAUUGGAUUCAACGCCGGACAUCUCACCAGAGGCGACAGCUGUAUGAUAGCCAGGCUGAUGACUUUGCUUGACUAGCUGAGUGGAGGUGCAUGG
This 488-nucleotide ribosomal RNA is filed under the name uncultured archaeon. Its description in RNAcentral is "bacterial SSU rRNA". It matches the Rfam family "Archaeal small subunit ribosomal RNA", at positions 516 to 997 of the family's 1478-position model. The record is from RNAcentral.